UUUCUUUUUCAUUAGCAAUUUGUUUCGGAAUUAUUUAUAUUUUUUCCACAUUUUUUUUUUGUGGUGAAAUCUACUACACCUUAUAUUUUUAAAAACCUUGAUGGAUGAGGGACCGCAGCCAUCACUGACAUUUCAUUGUGUUUCGUAUUUUCAUGGUGUGAUCAAGCAGCUCUGCGAUUCUGACAGUGAAUUUGCAAGAAAAAAUAAAGAAUUCAGUGAAAUGCAUGGAGAAAAAUCUGCAACGAUUGCCUUUGGCCCGCUGGAGUCUCUUUUGGCUCGGAAGUUUUCGCCUGGAGCUUGUUCCAUCGGUGAUUUGCGCCAACUUGGAAUGGCUUUCAACGAGGUUCGCCGGAAUUUACUUCAAAUUCAUCAAAACAGGGUAAUCAUUGCAAUGCUUUAAAAAAACAGGAGGACGAGGACUCGGAGGGCUCGUCAGGCCUGGCUCCGGAUGGCUCCGUGGAGGUGACGGUUUUCAUUGAGUGGUUAUUUUGCCCGAAGAAAGUGUUUUAGUGUGAAAGCGAGUGUGAAAGUUUAUUGUGGAAUAAAGGAUGAUGUGUUGUAAAUUUGUCA
Molecule: long non-coding RNA, 570 nt
Organism: Culex pipiens pallens (northern house mosquito)
Lineage: Eukaryota; Metazoa; Arthropoda; Insecta; Diptera; Culicidae
Exons: 2
Source: RefSeq, a predicted model, not a curated record